Molecule: transfer RNA, 77 nt
Filed under: Nitrospira defluvii
Lineage: Bacteria; Pseudomonadati; Nitrospirota; Nitrospiria; Nitrospirales; Nitrospiraceae
Description: tRNA-Und (NNN) (tRNA-Und-NNN-1-1)
Source: RNAcentral
AGAUUCAGUUCGUUAGAGCCAACAGCCACGUCCUGAAAAGGCUGGUGUCGACAGUUCGAUUCUGUCCCUCGGCACCA